RNAcentral lists this ribosomal RNA (460 nucleotides) under uncultured bacterium. RNAcentral describes it as "bacterial SSU rRNA". It matches the Rfam family "Bacterial small subunit ribosomal RNA", at positions 50 to 507 of the family's 1533-position model. The record is from RNAcentral.
AAUACAUGCAAGUCGAACGGUAACAUUGGAGCUUGCUCCAGAUGACGAGUGGCGCACGGGUGCGUAACGCGUAUGCAACCUACCUAUUACAGGAGGAUAGCCCUAAGAAAUUGGGAUUAAUACUCCAUAAUGCAAAGAAUUCGCAUGGGAUUUUGCUAAAGGCUUCGGUUGGUAAUAGAUGGGCAUGCGUAUCAUUAGCUAGAUGGUAAGGUAACGGCUUACCAUGGCAACGAUGAUUAGGGGAACUGAGAGGUUUAUCCCCCACACUGGCACUGAGAUACGGGCCAGACUCCUACGGGAGGCAGCAGUAGGGAAUAUUGGGCAAUGGAGGCAACUCUGACCCAGCCAUGCCGCGUGCAGGAAGAAUGCUUUCGGGUUGUAAACUGCUUUUAUAUAGGAAGAGCUAGCCUUGCGAGGUGAAUAGACGGUACUAUAUGAAUAAGCACCGGCUAACUCCGUG